ACGACCGGGAAUUAGCCCAGCACUGAAUCCUGUAUCUUUGAUAUUAGGAGUUGUAGUGUAAAGGUUGUGUCUUUAAUUGUGAAACGCAUUCCAAAUUCACUUGAUUGUGAUGUUGUCCAUAGAGGGUGUUAGACCCGUUGGGAUGUGUGAAACUGUUAAUGAUGCUUCCUAUGAGUCGGAUUGUUUGAGAUUGCAGUCCAAAUUGGGUGGUAAACUUCACCUAAGGCUAAAUACUUGUGCUAGUCCGAUAGAAAACAAGUACCGUGAGGGAAAGUUGAAAAGAACUUUGAAGAGAGAGUUAAAUAGUACGUGAAAUCGCUUAGAGGUAAACGAGUGGAGCCGAAAAUGUUGUUUGGGAUUCAGUUGGUUGUAUUUUGGCAUGAGAUUGGUGAUAUCUUUUAAAUGGGAAUCGCUGGUUUCAUUUUAUCUUAAAAUGCAAACGAUGCACUUUCCAUACAACAAANCUGCGAUCGAUAGCGUUGAUUUUCUGUCGUAUCAUUGAAGGUGAUCAAUUUUUCGGAAUUGGUUUUAUAGCUUUGAUACACGGUUGAUGAAUUUAUCGGUGAAUACGAUUAGUCAAAAUUANUGUUUGCUAAUAUGAAUUGUUUGAUGGUAAACUUUUAUAUAANAUUGCUGUCAAAUCUUUUUUGUUGGCGUUGGUAAUUGAUUAAUCCAAAUCUGCAGUGUAUAUGUAGGUUACCUACUCGUCCCGUCUUGAAACACGGACCAAGGAGUUUUAUAUGAUCGCGAGUCAAAAGGGCUUUACGAAACCCCASGGCGWAAUUAAUGUAAAGGUUUGCAWUGGUARRCUGAAAUGUGACUUCRAUUUGUURWARWRCAAUSGAAWGCAACAUUGACCCGUCUNAAKAAUUUCRAUUMUGGGCGGAGUUUGAGCGAUCAUGUAGAGACCCGAAAGAUGGUGAACUAUGCUUGUGCAGGUUGAAGUCAGAGGAAACUCUGAUGGAGGACCGCCGCGGUUCUGACGUGCAAAUCGAUCGUCGGACAUGAGUAUAGGGGCGAAAGACUAAUCGAACCAUCUAGUAGCUGGUUCCCUCCGAAGUUUCCCUCAGGAUAGCUGGCGUUUGAUGUGUUGUAGUUUUACCUGGUAAAGCGAAUGAUUAGAAGUAUUGGGGGCGAAAUGUUCUCAACUUAUUNUCAAACUUUAAAUGGGUUCGAAGUGCAGCUCGUUUUAUUAGAGCCGUACAUGGAAUACAAAUGCCUAGUGGGCCAUUUUUGGUAAGCAGAACUGGCGAUGUGGGAUGAACCAAACAUUCGNUUAAGGUGCCUAACAUUACGCUCNUGAGAAACCACAAAAGGUGUUGGUUGAUAAAGACAGCAGGACGGUGNACAUGGAAGUCGUCAUCCGCUAAGGAGUGUGUAACAACUCACCUGCCGAAUCAACCAGCCCUGAAAAUGGAUGGCGCUGUAGCGUGAGACCUAUACCGGAUCGGUAUCGUAAGGUGAUUCCGUAUUGGAACCAUGCGAGUAAACGAUGUCGUGUAGGAGGGUGCCGUGGUUGCUAAGAAGCUACUGGCGUGAGUCAGAGUGGAGCGGUCACGGGUACAGAUCUUGG
RNAcentral lists this ribosomal RNA (1573 nucleotides) under Microplana groga. Its description in RNAcentral is "eukaryotic LSU rRNA". It matches the Rfam family "Eukaryotic large subunit ribosomal RNA", at positions 93 to 1454 of the family's 3401-position model. Lineage: Eukaryota; Metazoa; Platyhelminthes; Tricladida; Geoplanidae. The record is from RNAcentral.